CUUGACCCUAUAAGAGGUCCAGCCUGCCCAGUGACCUAGUUCAACGGCCGCGGUAUCCUAACCGUGCGAAGGUAGCGUAAUCACUUGUCUUCUAAAUAAAGACUAGUAUGAAAGGCACCACGAGAACUUAACUGUCUCCCCUUUCUAAUCAGUGAAACUAAUCCCCCCGUGAAGAAGCGGGGAUCCUCAAAUUAGACGAGAAGACCCUAUGGAGCUUAAAACACUAACCACUUGCCCGCACAUUAAUUACCCCGGUUUCUAAAUCAACGCAAUAUGAUUACGUGUUUUUGGUUGGGGUGACCGCGGAAAAUAACUAAACCUCCACAAUGACAACAUCCAAACUAUAAGCUACAGCUUUAAGUAUCAACAAAUUGACAUUCUUGACCCAAUAUAUUGAUUAAUGAAC
Molecule: ribosomal RNA, 406 nt
Filed under: Pristimantis koehleri
Lineage: Eukaryota; Metazoa; Chordata; Amphibia; Anura; Strabomantidae
Description: partial large subunit ribosomal RNA
Rfam family: Bacterial large subunit ribosomal RNA
Source: RNAcentral